This is an RNA transcript of Musa acuminata AAA Group (dessert banana), 2038 nucleotides long. RefSeq lists it as uncharacterized. NCBI's taxonomy places the organism in Eukaryota, Viridiplantae, Streptophyta, Magnoliopsida, Zingiberales, Musaceae. The record is from RefSeq and is a predicted model, not a curated record. The transcript has 11 exons.
GAAACGAAUCGUUUGGGAACGGCUCGGAGGUCGGCAGUCGUCCCUCUUCUCGAUCGUCGCCGAAAAGCCCCCCCACCCCCCCGACCAAUGAUCGCUCCCCGAUCCUCCUCCUGCGAUCACUAACCGUUUCCCUCUGUCGGAGCCGUAGAUCGUCGUCGCCCAUCCUCCGCCAUGAGUUUGGAGCCCUUCAACAGGUUGGUGAAGCUCGCGGCGCGGGCGUUCUACGAUGACGUCACCAUAAAGGGCGAAAACCAGCCCAAGACUGGGAGAGGCGACAACAGGGGGAUGGCUGUUAUUGUUCUUGAUGCCCUCUCCAGGCGCCAGUGGGUUAGAGAGGAAGAUUUGGCUAAAGCCUUGAAGUUGCAUACUAAACAACUGCGCCGUGCUUUACGUUUUUUUGAAGAAGAGAAGCUAGUUACUAGAGAACAUCGGAAAGAGAGUGCCAAAGGUGCAAAAAUAUUCAAUGCUGCAAUUGCUGCAACUGGUGAUGGUCCACAAGGUACUAAAGAGGGUGAUGAGAAGAUGAAGAUGCAUAUGCAUUCGUACUGCUGUUUAGAUUAUGCACAGAUUUAUGAUGUUGUUAGAUACCGAAUGCAUCGGAUGAAGAAGAAAAUAAAGGAUGAGUUGGACAGCAGAAAUACCAUUCAGGAGUACAUAUGCCCUAAUUGUGGGAGAAGAUAUUCUGCUUUUGAUGCAUUACAACUUGUGAGCAUGGAUGAUGAAUAUUUUCACUGUGAAAAUUGCAAUGGUGAACUUGUUGCUGAGAGUGACAAGCUUGCUGCUGAAGAAAUGGGAGACGGGGAUGAUAAUGCUAGGAGGCGGAGGCGUGAAAAGUUAAAGGACAUGCUUCAGAAGAUGGAGGAGCAGCUGAAACCGCUAGCAUUACAGCUUGCUAGGGUGAAAGAUUUGCCUGCUCCUGAAUUUGGAAACCUACAAGCAUGGGAAGCUAGGGCACAUGCUGCAGCUCAAGCUAGUGGUGAUUCUAAUGCUAGUGAUUCUUCUAAAAAUCCCCAAGCACAAGGUUACACUGGCACGCCAAUGCCGUUUCUUGGUGAAACAAGGGUCGAAGUUGCUUUAUCUGGUGUUGAGGCAAAAGAGGAGAUUGAACUUGAUACAAAACCUACAUCAAUGAAGGUUUUACCUCCAUGGAUGAUCAAACAGGGAAUGAAUCUUACAAAAGAGCAGCGUGGAGAGGUCAAGCCUGAUGUCAAAGUGGAGCAAAGUUCCAGUUCUGUUGAUGAGAAGAAAUCAAAUAUGGAUAAAGAAGAUGAAAAGAGUUUACAGGAUGAAUAUCUCAAGGCUUAUUAUGCUGCCCUUGUGAAAAGGCAAGAAGAACAAGAGGCCUCUAAAAAAGUUCAACAAGAGGCAGAACUGCCAAUAAAUGUUUCUGAAGCACCCUUUGAGCGACGUGUUGGCAUGAAAUCAAAACGUGAGGAUGACAAUGAUGACGUUGAAUGGGAGGAGGAGGCCCCAAGUACAGGUAAUUCUGGUCAAUCAUAUAGGCUAGCCGAUUUGAAUGUGGAAGCUGAUGCAUCGGAUCAUGACGAUGAUGAGGAUGGUAUAGACUGGGAGGAAGGCUGACAUCCAUCAGAAUAAUAUCUACACAGUAAAUGAGCUCCUCCCACGUUGACUAAUGAUGCUUGGUCUCCAUCCUGGUCUGGUUUUGUUUAAAACAAUCACACCUCUAUAUAUAUAUAUAUCAUUUUUCAGGGAGUUAUAUACACUAUAAGUAAAGCGCUAUAAGAAUGCAAUUCUGAACAGAAGAAAUAGACGAUUCUAUUUUGAACACCUGAGUGGAAUAAAGCAAAGAGAUGUCAGGCGAUGCAUCGUCGAAGAGCUUUUGAUAUCUACUGAGAUGCAAAAGGGGGGGGGGGGGGGGGUUCACUCUGCUGCAAUCGUAUGGUGGGUCUGUCGAUCCUCUCGAGCGCUUCCCAUCUUUUCCCAUGUCUCUUUAUUUUGUAGUAGUUACGAGUUUAAAUAAGAUUCAAAUCUAAAUAUGGACUGAACAUUUAAUUUUACUAAUUGGAGUUUUAUAGUA